Molecule: ribosomal RNA, 491 nt
Filed under: uncultured bacterium
Lineage: Bacteria
Description: partial 16S ribosomal RNA
Rfam family: Bacterial small subunit ribosomal RNA
Source: RNAcentral
GAUGAACGCUGUCUACAGGCUUAACACAUGCAAGUCGAGGGGAAACGACGGGGAAGCUUGCUUCCCCGGGCGUCGACCGGCGCACGGGUGAGUAACGCGUAUCCAACCUGCCUCUGACUGAGGGAUAACCCGUCGAAAGUCGGCCUAAUACCUCAUGGCAUCGUCUGCGGGCAUCCAACGACGAUUAAAGAUUUCAUCGGUCAGGGAUGGGGAUGCGUCUGAUUAGCUUGUUGGCGGGGUAACGGCCCACCAAGGCUACGAUCAGUAGGGGUUCUGAGAGGAAGGUCCCCCACAUUGGAACUGAGACACGGUCCAAACUCCUACGGGAGGCAGCAGUGAGGAAUAUUGGUCAAUGGGCGGGAGCCUGAACCAGCCGAGUAGCGUGCAGGAUGACGGCCCUAUGGGUUGUAAACUGCUUUUAUGCGGGGAUAAAGUGAGGGACGUGUCCUUCAUUGCAGGUACCGCAUGAAUAAGGACCGGCUAAUUCCGUG